Physcomitrium patens is the source of this 787-nucleotide non-coding RNA. Lineage: Eukaryota; Viridiplantae; Streptophyta; Bryopsida; Funariales; Funariaceae. The record is from RefSeq and is a predicted model, not a curated record.
UCUUGAAUUCAAAACAUCUACAAAUAAUAAACCCUCACCUUGUCCUCUAAAGUGCCCCUCAUUUAUUUUAUAAAAAUAUAUAUAGAAUAAAAAUUUGAAAAAAAUGUCACAUUUGAAAAAAAUAAAUUAAAUAAUAAAUCUACACAUUUAAUUAAAUUUCGUAAGAUCAUCGCAUAAUAUUCUAGAAAUCGUGAUGAAAGUUCUUCUGUUGAGCAUGGAUCAUGUGUGGAAUCCCAUACAAAACUGUGCUAGUAUUUCAUUGGUAAACAAACUGAAUAGGAUGCAAACCUUUGCAACGACUGUUGGGUUCCCAAUCGCCGCAUCUUCUAGGAUGUGAAGCCCAAGGAGCUCAAGUAAUUCACUAAUUGUGCUAUUGUGAAUUCUCGGUUGCUAUGACAGCCCAUCCUAGAAUAGCCCCUUGUGCCGAAUUCAACGUCUUCACUGGUAUUCUGUGCAAGCUGGAAUGAAGGCUUUGGAGUUAGCAUUGAUGGCCGGUGAUCAGCGGCCAAUCUCCACUGGUAUCACUCCUGGGGAGCUGCACAAGGAGCGGCGUAUUUCCAAGCGUCUCCUGAAAUGGUUCAGAUGCUCGGCUGGGUUGAGAGCGGCGUCUAGAGCAAGCUUUUACGUUUCCAGGCUAAGGCCUCCCCUCGUAUGAAAUGAGAGAGCGAAUAGCCAGUCACACAGGACAAAUUCUGGGAUUCAAGGAGCCAACACGAGAACUUUAACAGUGCCUUGCGAGUUAGCAGCUAACAUUGUUGGACCUUCACUCUUCCAACACACUGCACUA